UCAUUAAUAUUCAUUCGAUAUAUCGCAAGAGUAACUGAGUAAGUGACGAUGCACCCCUGGCAUUGUGCCUAUCGGAGUGCAUAAUCAAAACAAAAACAAAAAACAGCUGAUUGGGAAUUGCAUUACAUGCAAAUUUUAUGCUGCUGAUUGCAUACGAAAUACAGGCGGGCGCAAUACUGUAGACAGCGGAAUUGCAUUAAGUGCAAGCUGACUAGCAGCUGCUACCAUACAAAGUGCAGAGGGGCGCGAAAAUGGAAAUGUCAGAAUUGCAUUAGUUGCAAGCUGACUAGCAGAGCACAUCGACUACGGCAAGGAGGCUUAGCCAAGUGGGCUGCACAGCCAAUAGGGCGCGUAUUUAAGUUAGUUUUAAGCAGGUUUAAAAUGUGAAUUUUAGGCGCAAGCGCCGUCACAUAUAUUCGCUGCACAUAUAUAUUUAUGUGCCGAAAAUAAAUUUUUGAAUUGUCAA
This 466-nucleotide small RNA is filed under the name Drosophila mojavensis. RNAcentral's name for it is "GI26231". The record is from RNAcentral. Lineage: Eukaryota; Metazoa; Arthropoda; Insecta; Diptera; Drosophilidae.